RNAcentral lists this ribosomal RNA (329 nucleotides) under uncultured bacterium. RNAcentral describes it as "bacterial SSU rRNA". It matches the Rfam family "Bacterial small subunit ribosomal RNA", at positions 28 to 361 of the family's 1533-position model. The record is from RNAcentral.
GAUAAACGCUGGCGGCGUGCCUAAUGCAUGCAAGUCGAACGGAUAGAAGUCUUCGGAUGACUAUUAGUGGCAAACGGGUGAGUAACACGUGGGGAUCUGCCCAGUAGUGGGGAACAACUCCGAGAAAUCGGAGCUAAUACCGCAUACGGUAGGUAUCGAGGGAUACCAUACUAAAGCCUUCGGGCGCUAUAGGAGGAACCUGCGGCUGAUUAGCUAGUUGGUGGGGUAAAGGCCACCAAGGCGAUGAUCAGUAGCUGGUCUGAGAGGAUGGACAGCCACACUGGGACUGAGAUACGGCCCAGACUCCUACGGGAGGCAGCAGCAAGGAA